AACAAGUUCGGAACAAGCUGUGAACAACUUGUAACAACCUUGUUGAUAUUAUCAGACUUGUUACAAGGUUGUGCCAACAAGUCCGAUACAGUCAUGAUAUAACAAUAUUGUUACAACUUUGUGUCGUCCACCUUGUUAAAUUUUUGCUAUAUCAUGAAUCUAUCAGACUUGUCAGAACAACUUUGGUACAAAUCUGAUAAUGCCAUCAAGCUUGUUACAAGUUGUUAACAGCUCAGUUGUUCCAAACUCAUU
Paramuricea clavata is the source of this 252-nucleotide non-coding RNA. NCBI's taxonomy places the organism in Eukaryota, Metazoa, Cnidaria, Anthozoa, Malacalcyonacea, Plexauridae. The record is from the annotation of a GenBank genome assembly.